AUGUUUAUAGGUAUGCUGGUAGCCGAAAAGGAAAGAAAAAGGCCAAGAAAAAGCCAAACUCAAAACAAUAUUAAAAAGAUUGGUAUGAUGGAAAUGUCGAGACCAUGUCGAAGAGCAAAACAAAAGAGGAAAAUUGGUCUCAGAACACGCAAAGAAGCGACAAUAACAAACAAUAACCCACAACGGUACCGAGACUCCAAUGCGUACGGGGCAUGGCGGUGGUGUGAAGGACCGCCCAAAAGCACCACCACAACAGCCCAAGGAGUGAAACAUGCCCAGUUCCCCAAGUAACAACAAGGUAUACGAAAUAUACCUUAGGUAUCAUUAUCCAUGAAAAAAUAGCAGCAAGAAAAGCGGUCAUGAACAAUCUCUGGUGCUCCAGCAGAGCUCAAAUUUCCCUCCCGCUAACCCAAAUGAUCAUCACUGUCGUUCCAUCAUGAUCAAAGAAGCAAAAUACCGCGGUAUGAUAUUUGGAGCUGUAUUCCGCACUUCAAAGUGACCAACAUAGCGGAAAGUUGGGGAAGAAGUAAUAGUACAUUAUUGACCCCAAAAUUUUCGUUUCCCUCCCCCCCCGGUGCGGUCAGUUUCCCGCAUGCCUAAUCCCCUUCCCAUCGCUUGAUAACUUUUACGAUGUCGGCCGCUGUCCAUACACGAAGUGGAAAGUAGUCAAGAGAUGGUUUUUGGGGUCGCGGAAUUCCUUUCGUACUGCAUUGCACAAGAGUUGGGUUUCGUCCAUUUUCCAGCCCAGGAUCCGAGUGAAGAGGGCCAGGCUGAAUGAUUCAAUACAGUUGCACAUGUGUUCCAUCUGGAAUGCACCCAUCUCCUUGAGUUUGGGAUCUUUGGGCCAUGUGCCCAUUGGGACCUACGCGGAGGAUCCAUGUUAGUUUUCAUGGAACAACAGAAUAAAAAAGGAAAUUAAAAAGGGAAGAAAGAAGAAAGAAGAAACAUCAGCCGAUAUGAGAAAUGAUACCUUGUAUACAUCGUCCCGAACAUCCUUGAAACCGGCGUCAAUCAAAUGCUGCUUCUGUUCGCGAGCAACAUUCAUGCGUUUUCCAAAUUUUAUACUCGCUUCGUCUAUCAGGGCUAGCCAGCGGGCGGUAUUGGGACACUUCUUAAGCGUGGGGUCAUCAUCGGAGGAAACCCACGCUUCAUACUCUUGCAUCUCGAUCCAGCCGCCAGGCUUCAGGUGCUGGAGUGCACGGUUAUACAGCAUGUUCCAGUCCUUUAUGCUCCCGCCCAUCCCCCGCGCGUGGAUAAAAUCAAAUGCCUCGUUUGGUGUAUACACCCAUUCGCUUUCAACAUCAUCGACAUAAAACUUGCAAUUAGGAGGCACCCAAGAUGGUUGAAUGGGGCUCAGAUCAUUGCCGAUGACGGUGGCGGAUUGGAACUCGUCAGCAAAGUCCAUGGCCCAUGCACCCGUUGCCGUCCCAAAAUCCAGCACUCUCUUCGGCUUGGCGGUAAUGGGUGCUCGGAAGAGGCGACCACCUAGUACGAGGCGGAAAAUGUGGUGAUGUAACUCGAGUCGUUCCUGUUCCGCCUCGUCAUUUGGUAACAUGUAAGAACCGUUCCUGUAUCCAUGAUAUCUUCUUCCAUUUUCUUUCCCGAGAUAGAAAAGGCAUUAGCACGGACAGUCGAUCCGGCAAUAAGCACAGCUGCUACUAGUGUUUUUGGGAUGGGCGCCCACCGUAUCUAUAUUCUAGGAUUGAGGAGGAGAGCGAGGUUCCAAACGACGAUCCGCCGCCAAUGCUGUUGACUGAGUCGCCAUCCGUGUCUGCGAAGUCUGUCUGCUUCUGUUAUCAGUUCUACAAAAGUCUAAAGAUGAAAUAAAUAAAACAAGAGAGAGAGAGAGCGAGAGAGAGAAUCCAGGAACUUCGAUAGGGAGUCCUACAUCAAUAUCGAUGACCCCAGGAUUUGGUGCAGAGGGCUGCACGAUUGUCUCAGUUUGGAGUGCCAUUUUUGCCCGCUUCUCGAAAAAACCAAGGAAGCAAGAAGCAAAAACAAAUUGCCAAGUGUAGGGGAAAAAAAGUAAUCAAAUAAAAUAUUUCGUGAGAUUCUGUGUGUACCAGGAAAUUGUGAAGAGAUACUUGUUUUGGAGGCUUGCACAAACUUGGGAACCAUCGUAUAUAUGGGCACCAGAACAUGCGGGAGAGCCAGACCUCCUCGCCCGACUCCUUGACAGGCCUUUCCUUGAGGAAGAGCACCGAAUUGGCCAAUCUUGCUUUAGCCGCUGAGUCCAGGCCGGGAAUCAGCUUGAUCAUCCCGUCCGCUUACUGCAUAAACCUUAGUGCGGCAGGCUUUCGACUGCUAACGUCGCGGAGAUCGGGACGGCCAUUCACGACCCCAGCAGCGAGUGGCCCUUAUGCUGUCCCCGGACAUGUGAGAGCGCACAACCAUCCUUAGUGUUUCGCCGGGCCUUGCAUUAACUUUGCCAAUGAAAACUGCCCCCAAUGUUCUGUAUGGUAAGAUUUGUGGCAGCUUCAUACCGAGCGAUUGACUGAACAAGCUUCCGGGGCUCAAGCACCGAGAAUCAAAGCCAAACAUAUCAGGUCCAGAUAAUGAACCUGCAACUGGAUUAUGCGGCAUCCAUUGUCCUAUUCCAGCAGCUCCUUGGUCCCCUAGAUACGGUUCAUGAGGGUUUGUUCGCGGUAAACAUACGCCGUACAAAAGUUAGAUGCAUUAAGCGCCACCAAUCCCACAAGUUGGCACAAUGAACUACUCCGAUGUACAGCAUUCCUCGAGAGUUCAGACUAAACUAAAAUGGCGUCCAGACUGGAGUCCUUUGAGAUUUCUCCUCGCCCAACUAACAGACAGCGGAGCGGGGGAAGGACGGCAGUAAAGUGGAGCAGCCGCAGCCAGAAAAUCCCCACCACCAGGCCUCUCGCCAACAGCGUUUGCGAACGUUGUUGCUUCGGUCUCACUCCAGCGUCAAAGGCGUCAUCCCCAAAGCGUCGCCGGAGGAGUCGCUGGUUGUUAGGCCAGCCAUGACUCGUAUACACACUCGCAGAACCCGAAGUUGUUUUUAUUUUCAUCGUUCAAUUUUUUUUAUUUUUGCCUCUGCACAGGUCGGGGAGCCAAUAGCAGUCCCAUACCACACGAGGCUCAAACAAUCGACCUAUGAUUCUCUCUGACACCGACACUAUCUUGUAGCAUCGGGGUGAGCAGCUCUGAAGUUACAUCCGCCCCAGUCACUCGAGAAGCGUGGUUGGUCUGGAAUAACAUUCCCAUAUGGCACCUCGCUUCAACUUCCGAGAGGCUGUAGAACUAGAGCGCUUUUGCACUAGGGCACGCCAUUCCCUAGAGAGAGGCUGAGAUUCCUCUCCUCCUUCUGCUGCUGCUGCUUGCUGCUGCUUUUUCUUCUUCAUAUUCGACUUCUUUCGAACAAGCACAGGCGCAGGGUUUCCAAGGGCUCAGUGCUUCACAGCUGUGGCGCAUGAGCAACUCUGCCGGACGUGCUCACCACUCUGCUCUGCGUCUGGUUGCAGGGAAUCUCGCGUUGAACCAUUGGCCGAAAUAUGGGGAAUUCGUGCCAAGGCCCAUCCCAAUCAAAGCCGUUUCUUCCAGCGUACGGAGGGCCUUGUUGUGAUGAUCAUGAAGGUUGAUGGAAUUCAACCCAACCGCUCAAGCUUUCAUGCCCCGACGACGGAGAAGCGAAUAUGAAUUCAGCGGAAUUACUGUUGGCUUCCUCUGUCAUGACUUGUGAGAGCACACAGAGCCUCUGGACAACCGAACUUGCAUGAAUCUGGUAGACGCGAGCUUGGACUGCACAUUUUAUCCCUGGAGAGCUCCGCAAACACUCACUGGAUGUGGUAGUUCCGCGCGUCUCUUGGAACUACAAUCAAACUUUUCUCCCCCAAGCUAACAUGAAGAUUAAGGUUAGUUGGAGAGUGAGGGUCUGAGACAUGAAAAUAAAUAUAAUAUAAUAUAAUGUAGAUAUAAAUAGAUGUAGAUAUAGGACAAACUCCAGCGUAGUCUUGGUGAGGAAGCCGGUUGUUGUGCGUGGAAUUACGCCGACAGUAUUUUUUUUGCUCUUUUACCCAACCAAAAAAAAAAAAAAAAAUUAACCAUAGCCUCAACUCCGAAAAGAUACUUCCGUGAAUAACUAAUAAAAAAUGAUAGAAUAAAAGCAAGAACAAGCCAAUGUUGCAUCUCCGGGAACCAAAAACAUCUCGGCCAAACAUCUCCAAACUUUGGCAACGUCAAACUCAAUUGUUUCUGCAAAACGGCAAGUGAGCGAAGCGUUCGGGGGAAAUUCAUUCAUUCUAUCCAAGGAACUCUGGACUAAGUUAAGAC
This 4290-nucleotide small RNA is filed under the name Histoplasma capsulatum var. duboisii H88. RNAcentral's name for it is "Histoplasma capsulatum H88 hypothetical RNA". The record is from RNAcentral. Lineage: Eukaryota; Fungi; Ascomycota; Eurotiomycetes; Onygenales; Ajellomycetaceae.